UUCGCAGCUCCGGGACUAGUGUAUAUUAAAUUUGUUGUUUUUAAAAAGUUCAGUAGUUGAAUUUCGGGAUCAAUGUUUCGGUCAUGCCGUUGGUAUGUACUGAUAUUAUUGGUUUCUCACCUUCUAAAGAACCGUAAUGCCAUUAAUUUGGUGUCACGGGGAAUUAGGACUGUAUA
Molecule: ribosomal RNA, 176 nt
Filed under: uncultured Glomus
Lineage: Eukaryota; Fungi; Glomeromycota; Glomeromycetes; Glomerales; Glomeraceae
Description: partial 18S ribosomal RNA
Source: RNAcentral